Molecule: non-coding RNA, 79 nt
Organism: Morus notabilis
Lineage: Eukaryota; Viridiplantae; Streptophyta; Magnoliopsida; Rosales; Moraceae
Source: Rfam
UUUAGGAGAUGAUGAUUCUAUACAAACUUUAUCUAAGCAUCAGCAAUGCUGACUAUUUGCACGUCAGUCUGAUCCCAAA